UGGUGUAGCUCAGUUGGCUAGAGCAGCUGAUUUGUAAUCAGCAGGUCGGGGGUUCGACUCCCUUCACC
Molecule: transfer RNA, 68 nt
Filed under: Aliarcobacter butzleri
Lineage: Bacteria; Pseudomonadati; Campylobacterota; Epsilonproteobacteria; Campylobacterales; Arcobacteraceae
Rfam family: tRNA
About the family: Transfer RNA (tRNA) molecules are approximately 80 nucleotides in length. Their secondary structure includes four short double-helical elements and three loops (D, anti-codon, and T loops).
Source: RNAcentral